Molecule: ribosomal RNA, 300 nt
Filed under: uncultured Microvirga sp.
Lineage: Bacteria; Pseudomonadati; Pseudomonadota; Alphaproteobacteria; Hyphomicrobiales; Methylobacteriaceae
Description: bacterial SSU rRNA
Rfam family: Bacterial small subunit ribosomal RNA
Source: RNAcentral
CGAACCCCGUGGCGGCAGCGCCGUGAAUACGUAGGGGGCGAGGGUUGUCCGAAGUGACUGGGCGUAAAGCGCGCGUAGGCGGGCUGUUAAGUGAGAGGUGAAAGGCUGGGGCUCAACCCCAUGCAGUGCCUCUCAUACUGGCGGUCUUGAGUGCGGCAGGGAGAAGUGGAAUGGCUGGUGUAGCGGUGAAAUGCGUAGAUAUCAGUCGGAACACCGGUGGCGAAGGCGGCUUCUUGGGCCUGGACUGACGCUGAGGCGCGAAAGCUGGGGGAGCGAACGGGAUUAGAUACCCCAGUAGUC